CUUGUGAGGCGCUUCGCAUCCAUUCAACGCGUACCGGCACAGCCGCCCAGUCAACUGCGCCCAACAGUAGCCUCCGCACAUAAUUCGUCAGCGUGAAGCCGCUCUUUUUUUUUCCCGGGCUUUCCUCCGGCAUUUCCUGCUUGACAUGCUCCGCCGAACGCUGUUUCGUUUUAAGCCGGCCAUCUUGACGGCAGCCGAGGCCCUUCAGGAUGUGAGGGAUGGCGCGACCAUCGCCCUCGGCGGCUUCGGCUUUUGCGGCUUCCCGUUCGAGCUACUCGAAGCGCUUAACCAGAGGGGCACAAAACAGCUUACCCUCAUCGCUGGCACGACAUCGGGGCCUGAGAACGGGACCGGGCCCCUCGCGCGCGAUAGGCAGCUAAAGAAGAUCAUCACCAGCUACGUUGGCGAGAACAGCGUUCUCUCGGAUCGACUCUUUCACGGCGAGUUUGAAAUCGAGUUUUGCCCCAUGGGCACGCUGGUGGACCGUCUGCGCGCUGCGGGUGCGGGGCUGCCCGCCUUCUACACCCCCACCGGCUACGGCACCGCAGUAGCCGAGGGCCGCCUCCCCGUGCGCUUUGCGCCGGGCAAGGCGGUGAGGGUGGCCGAGUACAGCCAGCCACGCGAGACGCGGCAGUUCAACGGGCGGUGGUGCACGCUGGAGAUGGCGCUGCCGGCGGACUUUGCGUUUGUGCGCGCGUGGAAGGCGGACAAGCGCGGCAACCUCGUGUUCCGCGGGACGACGCAGAACUUCAACCUUGCGUCCGCGAAGGCUGCGAAGGUGUGCAUCGCGGAGGUGGAGGAGAUUGUGGAGUGCGGGGAGCUGGACCCGAAGACGGUGCACCUGCCCGGCGUGUAUGUGCACCGCCUGGUGUGCCCACCGAACAUCAGGAGAGCCGCCGAGUUCGUGGUGGAGCGCAAGCCUGGGUUCUCGACGGGGACCGGGAAGAACGCACAUGCAGGCCGCAAUCUCAUAGCUCGCCGCGCAGCCCUUGAGAUCAAGGAUGGCAUGACACUGAACCUUGGCAUCGGCAUCCCCAACAUGGUGGCGAGCUACAUUCCGCCUGAAAUGGACGUGGUGCUGCAGGGAGAAAACGGCUUACUCGGCAUUGGCCCCUACCCGCUGCCGGAGGAGGUGGACCCCGACAUCACUAACGCCGGCAAGCAGACCGUCACCAUGAGCAAGUCAGGUGCUUCGCUGUUCGACAGCGCCGAGUCCUUCAGCAUGAUUCGCGGUGGUCAUUUGGACUUGACGAUGCUUGGCGCGCUGGAGGUCUCUGGCACCGGCGACAUUGCCAGCUGGUGGGUGCCUGGCAAGGUGCUGAAGGGCAUGGGUGGGGCCAUGGACCUCGUCAUGUCGGGCUGCCGUAUUGUCGUGCUGAUGGAGCACACGGACAAGGAGGGUAAGCCCCGCGUUGUGGAAUCGUGCCGAGUGCCGCUCACCGGCACUGGCGUGGUUGACUUGCUCAUCACAGAGCUCUGCACGUUCCGCUUUGUGAAGGAGAAGGGCGGCAUCAACGAGAUGUGGCUGUCGGAGCUCUCUGAGGGCGUAACGCUGGAGGAGGUGCGCGCAAAGACAAGUGCUGCGUUCAAGGUCGACCCAAAUCUCAAAACGAUGCCGCGAGUGGAUCCUCUACCGACUUGAGUGGGGUCCGGCGGCUGGCCGAUCAUUUCACGCAGUGCUUUUUUUGUUCUUUUCUUUUGUUUGCUUUCACGGGUAGCACGGGUGCGAAGUUUUGUGGCAGCUGCGCUCCACCCGCACGUAUGCGCCGCAUACGGAAAUCACUCGCCCUUUUCCCCUCCCUCUUACGUCGCUUCAUCCUUUAUGUUCUCCUUUCUCCGUAUAGGCUUGCUUUCCCCGUGCAUGUUCUAUCUUCGGCAUGUUUUCACCGAAAACAUGUGUGAGCGCUUAACACAUCAACGUGCGUAUUGGUUUCUUUCUGCUUUGGGACUGCGGUCCGGAGAGUGGGCGUACUGUGUGCAUCUCGCCCUCUCUCUCGCUGCAUGCCCGCCUCUUCGACCCUACUCCCCGCCUUUUGCUGCUUUAGGUCAUGCUUUCCUCUUUCUCUGUGUUUUGUUGAAGAGGUGGGCAGCUUGCACUUGCACUCACAGACAUACACGCAUAUACACACACUCUUGCCCUCUCUUAUCCUUCAUCUUGCUCCCCGCCUUUCUCUCAGAAUGUGGUGCCUUUGUGUGUUCGACGCUCCCACCCUCUUCUUCCCUUCCCUUGUUCUGUUCUCCAUGCGCGCGCCAAAAUAUUCUUUUCUUUCAUAGCUUUUCAUGGAUGUCUGUUCUUGUGGGUAUGCGUGCAUGUGCCUGCAGAGAUGCUGUAGCUGUGUUGAGUGAUUCUCUCCCGCUCUCUUCUUGCGUUUGGGUAUCGACAAAGGUGGCCGCUUGCAGGGCCUUUUUUUUUCCUUCUUUCUCUGCUUCGCUCAGUGACUUCGGUAGCACGCAGGUGCGCACGUGUCCAGGAAAAGAUGGGCAAGCGUUAGCUGAGGUAACCCGUGGCUUUCGAGUGCACGCUGACAUCUUCUUGCACCUCCCACUCCUGGACACCCUCAUCCCUACCCUGCUUUCGAAGACGUGUGACCGCUGUAGCUGUCGUGCCAAUGAGCUUCCAUGCGCAUCCCGGGGACGCAUUGCCGCGCGUGAAUCCACGGCAGCCACUGUGUCUUCACAGCUUUCCGUCUCUCAUCCGAAUGUGGGAGGCCUAUAUCCCUCUUGAAAACGCGUUGAUCAGAAAACG
Molecule: unclassified non-coding RNA, 2746 nt
Filed under: Leishmania donovani
Lineage: Eukaryota; Euglenozoa; Kinetoplastea; Trypanosomatida; Trypanosomatidae
Description: gene:LdHU3.30.2630(CDS-product:succinyl-coa:3-ket oacid-coenzyme_a_transferase-_like_protein)
Source: RNAcentral